ACCGGCGGCCCGAGUGGUGAUCGUGAUUAUUGGGUCUAAAGGGUCCGUAGCCGGUUUGGUCAGUCCUCCGGGAAAUCUGAUAGCUCAACUAUUAGGCUUUCGGGGGAUACUGCCAGACUUGGAACCGGGAGAGGUAAGAGGUACUACAGGGGUAGGAGUGAAAUCUUGUAAUCCCUGUGGGACCACCUGUGGCGAAGGCGUCUUACCAGAACGGGUUCGACGGUGAGGGACGAAAGCUGGGGGCACGAACCGGAUUAGAUACUCGGGUAGUCCCAGCCGUAAACGAUGCUCGCUAGGUGUCAGGCAUGGCGCGACCGUGUCUGGUGCCGCAGGGAAGCCGUGAAGCGAGCCACCUGGGAAGUACGGCCGCAAGGCUGAAACUUAAAGGAAUUGGCGGGGGAGCACAACAACGGGUGGAGCCUGCGGUUUAAUUGGACUCAACGCCGGACAACUCACCGGGGGCGACAGCAAUAUGUAGGCCAAGCUGAAGACUUUGCCUGAAUCGCUGAGAGGAGGUGCAUGG
RNAcentral lists this ribosomal RNA (523 nucleotides) under uncultured archaeon. RNAcentral's name for it is "bacterial SSU rRNA". It matches the Rfam family "Archaeal small subunit ribosomal RNA", at positions 475 to 997 of the family's 1478-position model. The record is from RNAcentral.